CUUCACCGAGCCCAGCCAGAGCGGCUGGUCGGCGGGCCGGUUCCGACCGUACGUGGCCAGGAGUGCCUGCGCCUC
Molecule: antisense RNA, 75 nt
Filed under: Paractinoplanes brasiliensis
Lineage: Bacteria; Bacillati; Actinomycetota; Actinomycetes; Micromonosporales; Micromonosporaceae
Description: Actinoplanes brasiliensis ASpks TB sRNA
Rfam family: ASpks TB sRNA
Source: RNAcentral